AUGCAUGGGCGGUGGGCGCUAGUGGACAAGGCGGCAGUGGAGGAGGCGGCGGACAAGGCAGCGGGAGCAAGGCGCGAGCUCCGGUGGUCCGUGCCGUCACCAGAUCCAGGUGCUCCGUCCAUGGAGGAGCACCACUGGGAGGAGGUGGAGGUAGCAGGGCCCGACGGAGGCGCGUGGUAUCCUCCGGCGGCGUUAAUGCAGGCAGCUGACGGCGACGAGUGCGGUCAGGGGCAGCGUGGGGGCGGCGGCGCCGGUUGGGGGCAGGGCGGGGGCGGCGGCGCCGAUUGGGGGCAGGGCGGGGGCGGCGUCCCCUUUUGA
This 318-nucleotide ribosomal RNA is filed under the name Triticum aestivum (bread wheat). RNAcentral describes it as "partial small subunit ribosomal RNA". The record is from RNAcentral. Lineage: Eukaryota; Viridiplantae; Streptophyta; Magnoliopsida; Poales; Poaceae.